Sorex fumeus (smoky shrew) is the source of this 102-nucleotide small nucleolar RNA. RefSeq annotates it as small nucleolar RNA U13. The record is from RefSeq and is a predicted model, not a curated record. The transcript has a single exon. Lineage: Eukaryota; Metazoa; Chordata; Mammalia; Eulipotyphla; Soricidae.
AUCCUUUUCUGGUUGAUAAGCAAAAUGAUUGGGAGUUUACAUGCUUGUGUGACAUGUACUUCCCUUAAAUCUUGUUAUUCAGGUCUUUAAUCCAUUUUGAUC